GUGCUCGUUUCGGCAGCACAUAUACAAAAAUUGGAACGAUAGAGAGAAGAUUAGCCUGGCCCCUGCGCAAGGAUGACACGCAAAAUUCGUGAAGUGUUCCUUAUUUUU
This is a small nuclear RNA of Mustela erminea (ermine), 108 nucleotides long. NCBI's taxonomy places the organism in Eukaryota, Metazoa, Chordata, Mammalia, Carnivora, Mustelidae. The record is from RefSeq and is a predicted model, not a curated record.